UACGUAGGGUGCGAGCGUUGUCCGGAAUUAUUGGGCGUAAAGAGCUCGUAGGCGGUUUGUCGCGUCUGCUGUGAAAACCCGAGGCUCAACCUCGGGCCUGCAGUGGGUACGGGCAGACUAGAGUGCGGUAGGGGAGAUUGGAAUUCCUGGUGUAGCGGUGGAAUGCGCAGAUAUCAGGAGGAACACCAAUGGCGAAGGCAGAUCUCUGGGCCGUAACUGACGCUGAGGAGCGAAAGCGUGGGGAGCAAACAGG
RNAcentral lists this ribosomal RNA (253 nucleotides) under uncultured bacterium. RNAcentral describes it as "partial 16S ribosomal RNA". It matches the Rfam family "Bacterial small subunit ribosomal RNA", at positions 524 to 776 of the family's 1533-position model. The record is from RNAcentral.